GACGAAGGGUGCAAGCGUUAUCCGGAAUCAUUGGGCUUAAAGGGUGCGUAGGCGGCCUGCUAAGUCAGUGGUGAAAUCUUCUCGCUUAACGAGAAAACUGCCAUUGAUACUGGUGGGCUUGAGUACAGAUGCUGUGGGCGGAAUAUGACAUGUAGUGGUGAAAUACAUAGAGAUGUCAUAGAACACCGAUUGCGAAGGCAGCUCACAAAACUGUAACUGACGCUGAGGCACGAAAGUGCGGGGAUCAAACAGG
Molecule: ribosomal RNA, 253 nt
Filed under: uncultured bacterium
Lineage: Bacteria
Description: partial 16S ribosomal RNA
Rfam family: Bacterial small subunit ribosomal RNA
Source: RNAcentral